UUGCCUAAUGAAUUGACUGAUUGGUCACGCACCUCCAGGUAUGGCACUAUCCUGCAGGACAGAUCUCCCAUCAGUCUCCUCUUGGUCAGCUCGUUGAAGGUGAUCACCGGCAGACAGAAGAACAGCACUGUGAAGUCCCAGAAGGCCAGGCUGGCCAGCGCGCAGUUCCACGUGCUCUUCAGGCUGGACUGACGGGAACAUGUUCGAUUUCUUUGUAAACUGAUCGACUCUACCUGCAAACUUCUCCCUGAUCUCAUUUUAGCAACAUUAAAAAAAUAAAAUAAAAUGAAUACUC
This is a long non-coding RNA of Carassius gibelio (silver crucian carp), 295 nucleotides long. RefSeq lists it as uncharacterized. The record is from RefSeq and is a predicted model, not a curated record. The transcript has 2 exons. Lineage: Eukaryota; Metazoa; Chordata; Actinopteri; Cypriniformes; Cyprinidae.